Molecule: long non-coding RNA, 533 nt
Organism: Homo sapiens (human)
Lineage: Eukaryota; Metazoa; Chordata; Mammalia; Primates; Hominidae
Source: Ensembl
GUCUGAGCGCGCUGGGCUCGUCCCGGUGCCGGAAACGAGCGCUGCCCGGCGAGCGGCCUUGGGGACCCAGGGCUGGGGCCCGUGGCCUACACGAGGCCAGAGAUCCCCACUGGCCCCGAGAGGCCGCCCAGCGCUGGAGGUGCGGGCAGAGCUGCAGCCAAGCUCCCGAGGCGAUCUGCUGUUAGGCCACAACCUGGGCUCGCCUAGUGCCCGAGGCCCAAGUCGCAGUUCUCGUGAAAACGAAAAGGAGAUCGGCUAUGCCCUGGACACAAAGGAAGACCCGCGGGGUGGGUCUAGGGACAGUCCUGAAGCUUUAGCCAGUUUAAGGGGAAGGCGGGCAGCAAGGUCCCAGUCGGGCCCGAUUUCCCUCCUGUUUGAUGACCGGGCGACGAGGGAAACAAAGAUCCAGCCCGAGGGCGCGCCCCCCUUUCCCCUAAUAACCCUGCACCUGGGGGAGACCAGUGGAUACAACCUAUGAGGGCUUCUGGCGGGGUAGGGCGAAGCCGAGAUGUCCACCCCACAGGCCAAAAGCU